UCCUCACUGUACAUACAUACAAGGAAAUUUGUCCUCUGCAUUUAACCCAUCCUAAUUACAGUUAGACACAAUCCAACCACUAGGACCAGUGGGCUGCCACAGUCUAGCGCCCGGGGACCAAUUCCAGAUGUAGACGUGGAGAAAAAAACUAUUUAU
Thalassophryne amazonica is the source of this 156-nucleotide long non-coding RNA. RefSeq lists it as uncharacterized. The transcript has 3 exons. Lineage: Eukaryota; Metazoa; Chordata; Actinopteri; Batrachoidiformes; Batrachoididae. The record is from RefSeq and is a predicted model, not a curated record.